RNAcentral lists this ribosomal RNA (496 nucleotides) under uncultured bacterium. Its description in RNAcentral is "partial 16S ribosomal RNA". It matches the Rfam family "Bacterial small subunit ribosomal RNA", at positions 29 to 507 of the family's 1533-position model. The record is from RNAcentral.
AUGAACGCUGGCGGCGUGCCUAAUACAUGCAAGUCGAGCGAACGGACGAGAAGCUUGCUUCUCUGAUGUUAGCGGCGGACGGGUGAGUAACACGUGGAUAACCUACCUAUAAGACUGGGAUAACUUCGGGAAACCGGAGCUAAUACCGGAUGAUAUUUUGAACCGCAUGGUUCAAAAGUGAAAGACGGUCUUGCUGCCACUUAUAGAUGGAUCCGCGCUGCAUUAGCUAGUUGGUAAGGUAACGGCUUACCAAGGCAACGAUGCAUAGCCGACCUGAGAGGGUGAUCGGCCACACUGGAACUGAGACACGGUCCAGACUCCUACGGGAGGCAGCAGUAGGGAAUCUUCCGCAAUGGGCGAAAGCCUGACGGAGCAACGCCGCGUGAGUGAUGAAGGUCUUCGGAUCGUAAAACUCUGUUAUUAGGGAAGAACAUAUGUGUAAGUAACUGUGCACAUCUUGACGGUACCUAAUCAGAAAGCCACGGCUAACUACGUG